AUCUUUGUAAUUUUUUGGUUGAUUGUUGAGGCAGUUGAAGUAAGACUAGCAGGUCUUGGUCGUCGAAUUAAACAAGGAAGCUAGGAUUGAAGAAUAAUAAAGAAUGGCGUGAGAAAUUAGUUGUGCAUAUGGUUAUGUUAUGGUACCCUAAUUCAAGGAAGUUCUACCGCCUGGUGGUUGACAUUACAUUACUGAGAUGUUUGUAUUAUAAGUGAAGUUAUCCCCCUUUUUACUUUAUUUGUUGAGUUUGGUGAAGGAAUGUGAGUGGGGCGAUAAACAAGAAACCAACAAAUAUUAUCUUUUUCAUUGGACCAAACCUCAUGUGUCAGUAAUUGUAAUAAUCUGGAUGCAAUCUAAAAGCCAAACUAGUAAUCAUUUCGAAUCAGCACUUGAUUUGCCAUUGAUAUGGAGAGUCUUGAAGCAGCCAGAAAGUGCUUGACAACUAGUUUGGAAACAUCAAGUGCCAUUUCCUCUGCACUAGAUGAAUCUGGAUCAAGGUUGGAGCUACUUAACCAGAGAUAUCUGUCCUUACAAGCUUCCCUUAGACCCAUCUCAAAGCAGAAGUGCUCAUUUGUCAACAUUGACCACGGUAUAGACAGUGUUCUAUGUUCUGCUGCUGCACUCCUCAAAGUUUCUGACUCUGUUCAUCAGUUGGAGCAUUCUCUCUUAACAGACCCCUCUUCUGAUCUUUACACCUAUGUGUCAGACACAAAGAAGCUUGAGGAAGCACUGAAGCUUCUCACUGAUAAUUGCAGGUUAACAGUUGGCUGGUUGAAGGACGUUUUUGAGUUCUUACAGGACAAACCAAUCACCAAUGAGCUUUACCUGUUGAAUGUGAAGAAAUCUUUGAGAAUAUUGCAAGAAUUGCAGGUCAAGGAGGAAAGUGCUCGCCUUGAUGGAGGCCUUCUUAGCACUGCUUUUGACAAACUAGAACUUGAGUUCCAGAGGCUUCUCAUAGCAAACUCCAUGCCUCUUCCUUUGGUUUCAUUGACAUCACACAUUGGCCAGCAAGCCAGUAUUGCCAGACAAGCUUUGCCAUUGACAAGUUCUUUAGCAGGGAAGUUGCAUGCCAUCACUGAGAGAUUACAUGCUAAUGGCAGGCUAGACAAGUGUCAAUCUAUCUAUGUUGAAGUUCGAGGUAUGAAUGCUCGUCGAAGCUUGAAUACUUUAGAUUUGAGUUACCUUGAGAUUCCAACAGCUGAAUUUGAGGCUGUACAGUGUAUGGAGAGCUACAUAGACCAAUGGGGCUGCCAUUUGGAGUUGGUUGUGAAGCAACUGCUCGAGACUGAGUGCAGGCUCUCGGCUAUUGUCUUUGAGAAAAUCGGUCCAGAAGCAUGGAUGGGGUGUUUUGCAAAGAUUGCCAUGGAAUCAGGAAUUCUUUCUUUUAUUCGAUUUGGAAAGAUUAUCACCGAUAGGAAAAAUGAUCCCCUCAAGUUGUUGAACCUGCUGUCCAUAUUCAAGGUCUUAAAUGGUCUGAGGCUAAAAUUCAACCAGCUUUUCAGUGUGAAAGCUUGUAAAGAAAUUAGAACUGUGACUGAGGAUCUUAUAAAAAAAGUAGUCAAUGGCACCAGUGAGAUAUUCUGGCAACUUCCAGCGCAAGUGAAGUUGCAAAGACCAACUUCUCCUCCCCCUGAUGGCAGCAUUCCCAAGCUGGUAAGCUUUGUAACUGAUUACUGCAAUCAGCUGCUUGGGGAUGACUAUAGGCCACAUUUGACACAGGUUUUGGGAAUACAUCUUAGCUGGAGAAAGGAAGCGUACGAAGAGGGUAUUGUUUUAUGCCAAAUAUAUAAUGCAAUUAAGGAGGUUGCAGUAAAUUUGGAUACGUGGUCAAAGGCCUAUGAAGAUAUCACAUUGUCCUACCUUUUUAUGAUGAAUAAUCACUGUCAUUUCUGCAAUUUGAGGGGUACUGUGCUUGGAAAUAUGAUGGGAGAUUCUUGGUUAAGAGCACACGAGCAAUAUAAGGACUAUUAUGCAGCACUUUAUUUGAGGAACAGCUGGGGAAAGCUUCUAUCUAUUCUUGUAGUUCCAAGGGACAUACUUUCACCCUCCAGUGUAAGUGUGACAAGCCAAGACUUGGCAAAGAGACUAAAUGCCUUCAAUCUAGCUUUUGAUGAAAGGUACAAGAAGCAAUCUAAUUGGGUAAUAUCCGAUGAGAUCUUGAGGGAAAAUGUAUGCAAGCAUUUGGUGGAAGGUAUUAUACCAAUUUACAGGGCCUAUGUCAAGAAUUAUUGUUUGUCAAUAGAAAAUGAUGCUAAGGUUGACAAGCAUAUGAAAUAUAGGGCGCAGAGUUUGGAGAACAAGAUUAGGUCUAUGUUUCAGCCGAAGCAGAGGAAGGCUAGUAGCAUUAAACAGGCAGACUUGAUUAGUAAAAUAAAACAAGUCAGUCAUCAGUUUCGCUUGACUCUAGCUGCUCUAUAAUGCUUGGCAGGAUGAAACUUAAUGUGUGAGUGUAGAAAAAUACAGAUCAUUUACAAGUGUUACUUACAUGUUAUCACAUUAGUUAUUUUUAAUAAAAAUGACUCCGACUUUGAUAUUUAUUAUCUUUUUCAACAAAAGAAAAGACUUAUCGUGAAUAAAUGCCUCUCAAGGAAAAUUAUAUACAAGUUUCUUUCUAUUCUCUUCUGAUGUAUACUUCUCUGGGGAAAGGAAUGCGGACGUCAAACACGCCUUCGAAGAAGCAUUUCUUCACCUAAAAGCAACUUAAGAAGUAAUAAUAUGUCGUUUUUCUUGCAUAGCUAAACGACACCUCGUUUUGCUACGUUUUUAUUUAUCCACUCCAGACGAGACGCAGCGUUUUGACUCUGUUAUCAAGUGAUGGCGAUGAUGGCGGCGACGACACUCACACUGACACCACCGAGAUGGUCGUGGCGUCCAACUCGUCGUUCCUUUUGCCGGCAAAUGCAUCCAGGGCUGAGAGGUUUGGGAAUGUACAGAAAUGGUGGGAGCAUUGAAUUGAAUGUUUCUGCCUGGGAUGAUAAGCCCUUUGAAAUGCUUCCGAGCGGUAACAAGGCUUACUUGGAUGAGCAGGAUGUGGUGACGUUUCUUGAUCCUCCUAAGGACUUAAUCCCUUUCGACCCAUCUUCCUAUAAUCCCGCUGCAUACCUAUGG
RNA transcript from Glycine soja, 3108 nucleotides. RefSeq lists it as uncharacterized. The transcript has 2 exons. The record is from RefSeq and is a predicted model, not a curated record. NCBI's taxonomy places the organism in Eukaryota, Viridiplantae, Streptophyta, Magnoliopsida, Fabales, Fabaceae.